RNAcentral lists this ribosomal RNA (522 nucleotides) under uncultured marine eukaryote. RNAcentral's name for it is "bacterial SSU rRNA". It matches the Rfam family "Eukaryotic small subunit ribosomal RNA", at positions 618 to 1148 of the family's 1831-position model. The record is from RNAcentral.
GUUAAAAAGCUCGUAGUUGUAUUUCUGCCUAAUGGCGCAUGUCCGCCCAAGCGGUGUGUACUUUGCGUUCAUCAGGCCCUUUCAGGGGGAUGCUACUGAACUUAAUUGGUUGGUAGCAGAAUCUUGACUUUUACUUAGAGGAAAUCAGAGUGUUCCAAGCAGGCAAUCGCCUUGUAUAGCUCAGCAUGGAAUAAUAGUAUAAGACCUCGUUUUUAUCUGUUGGUUGCUUUGGCGAGGUAAUGAUGAAGAGGGAUAGUUGGGGGCAUUCGUAUUGCAUUGUCAGAGGUGAAAUUCUUGGAUUUAUGCAAGACGGACUACUGCGAAAGCAUUCGCCAUGGAUGUUUUCAUUGAUCAAGAACGAAAGUUAGGGGAUCGAAGACGAUCAGAUACCGUCGUAGUCUUAACUAUAAACCAUGCCAGCUAGAGAUCGGAGGUUGUUUAUCUUUGACACCUUCAGCAUCUUAUGAGAAAUCAAAGCCUUUGGGUUCCGGGGGGAGUAUGGUCGCAAGGCUGAAACUUAAA